RNAcentral lists this small nucleolar RNA (104 nucleotides) under Rasamsonia emersonii CBS 393.64. RNAcentral describes it as "A. fumigatus snoRNA Afu_514". It matches the Rfam family "A. fumigatus snoRNA Afu_514". The record is from Rfam by way of RNAcentral. Lineage: Eukaryota; Fungi; Ascomycota; Eurotiomycetes; Eurotiales; Trichocomaceae.
UCACAUGAUGAGGUAAUUUGCGCUUGACCCAGUUUCUGUGAAGCUCUCGCCGGAGUUUCGAUACAGGGCUGGAGUGUGAUAUUCAAUUCUUACAUAUGCUGAUG